This 72-nucleotide transfer RNA is filed under the name Micromonospora krabiensis. It matches the Rfam family "tRNA". Rfam says of the family: Transfer RNA (tRNA) molecules are approximately 80 nucleotides in length. Their secondary structure includes four short double-helical elements and three loops (D, anti-codon, and T loops). The record is from Rfam by way of RNAcentral. Lineage: Bacteria; Bacillati; Actinomycetota; Actinomycetes; Micromonosporales; Micromonosporaceae.
GCGUCGCUACCUCAGAGGGAGAGCAGCCGGCUCUUAACCGGCGGGUGCAGGGUUCGAGCCCCUGGCGACGUA